GGUGCAGACGGCUUUUUUAAGUCGGUUGUGAAAUCUCCCGACUUAAUUGGGAGAAGUCAUUCGAUACUAUUAAGCUAGAGGACGGUAUAGGAAAGCGGAACUCCCGGUGUAGCGGUGAUAUGCGUAGAUAUCGGGAGGAACACCAGUGGCGAAGGCGGCUUUCUGGGCCGUUCCUGACGUUAAGACCCAAAAGCGUGGGGAGCAAAACGGAUUAGAUACCCGUGUAGUCCACGCCCUAAACAUUGGACACUAGGUAUAGGGGGUAUCGACCCUCUCUGUGCCGAAGCUAACGCUUUAAGUGUCCCGCCUGGGGACUACGGCCGCAAGGUUAAA
Molecule: ribosomal RNA, 333 nt
Filed under: uncultured bacterium
Lineage: Bacteria
Description: bacterial SSU rRNA
Rfam family: Bacterial small subunit ribosomal RNA
Source: RNAcentral